UACGUAAGGGGCGAGCGUUGUUCGGAAUUAUUGGGUGUAAAGGGCGCGUAGGCGGUUUAGCAAGUCUGGUGUGUAAGGCUACAGCUUAACUGUAGUUAGGCACUGGAAACGGCUGAGCUGGAGUGCAGGAGAGGGAGCUGGAAUUCCAGGUGUAGGGGUGAAAUCUGUAGAGAUCUGGAAGAACACCGGUGGCGAAGGCGAGCUUCUGGCCUGCAACUGACGCUGAGGCGCGAAAGCGUGGGGAGCGAACAGGAUUAGAUACCCUGGUAGUCCACGCUGUAAACGAUGUACACUAGGUGUUGGUCCAAGAGGAUCGGUGCCGGAGCAAACGCGUUAAGUGUACCACCUGGGGAGUAUGCCGGCAACGGUGAA
This 372-nucleotide ribosomal RNA is filed under the name uncultured Spirochaetota bacterium. RNAcentral's name for it is "bacterial SSU rRNA". It matches the Rfam family "Bacterial small subunit ribosomal RNA", at positions 524 to 898 of the family's 1533-position model. The record is from RNAcentral. Lineage: Bacteria; Pseudomonadati; Spirochaetota.